AUGGACAUCUUCAACACAAAUGCACACUUGAAUUAUGUAAGGGACAGUGGGCUUACGUUGCAGAGAGCAAAACAACUGAGACCUUUCAAAAGGGAUGAGCUCGAGCCAUUUUUAAAGGAUUUUUAUUUCAUUGGAAGAGGUGGCUUUGGAGAAGUUUACAUGGGACUUGUUAAUGAUGUACGAGUCGUAGUAAGGAAGCUGAUUAGUGGUACUAUGUCGGAGAAUGGGGAGCCAUUUCCAAAAGAAGUCCGCAACCAAUGUGAACUUAUUCACAGAAACAUCAUUAGGCUCACAGGUUAUUGCUUUGAAGUUGACACGCCAGCGCUAGUCUAUGAGUAUCCCUCCAGAGGUAGCAUCCAUGACAUUCUUCACAGCAACAGGGUGCCUCUCAACUUGGAUUUGCGUUUAAGUAUAGCUGCAGAAUCAUCAAGCGCUCUAGCUUACAUGCAUUCAUUUGGCAUGUGUAAAAUCUUAUUUGGUAGUUUUAAACCAUCUUAUAUACUCUUGGAUGACAACUUUAUGGCUAAGGUCUCAUACUUUGGCAUGUCAAGCAUGGCUGCGGGACACAACGGAACAAUCGAUGGUGAAAUGGUUUAUAUGGAUCCAGCAUAUGUACAAACAGGCCUGCUAAUCGGAAAAAGUGAUGUCUACAGCUUUGGAGUUACCACCUUGGAGCUUGUUACUAGGAGGAAGGCCACACAUUCUGACAAUAACAGCUUGGUGAGGAAUUUCCUUGAGAAUCACAAGAUGGGGAGGAAAUCAACUGAGUUGUUUGAUGAGGAAAUUGUAGUGUCAAAAAAUCCGGAGUUUAUUGAGAUUCUUGCAAAAAUUGCUGUGGAGUGUAUUAACCUCUAUCCGGAC
RNAcentral lists this ribosomal RNA (861 nucleotides) under Triticum aestivum (bread wheat). Its description in RNAcentral is "partial small subunit ribosomal RNA". The record is from RNAcentral. Lineage: Eukaryota; Viridiplantae; Streptophyta; Magnoliopsida; Poales; Poaceae.